AUCUAGCUGACGAGUCCCAAAUAGGACGAGACGCUUGUCAAACUGUAU
This is a non-coding RNA of Schistosoma mansoni, 48 nucleotides long. The record is from Rfam. NCBI's taxonomy places the organism in Eukaryota, Metazoa, Platyhelminthes, Trematoda, Strigeidida, Schistosomatidae.